GUAGAUAUAGCUCAGCUGGUUAGAGCGCCGGAUUGUGAUUCCGGAGGUCGUGGGUUCGAGCCCCAUUAUUUACCCA
This 76-nucleotide transfer RNA is filed under the name Hymenobacter coccineus. Its description in RNAcentral is "tRNA-His". It matches the Rfam family "tRNA". Rfam says of the family: Transfer RNA (tRNA) molecules are approximately 80 nucleotides in length. Their secondary structure includes four short double-helical elements and three loops (D, anti-codon, and T loops). Further hydrogen bonds mediate the characteristic L-shaped molecular structure. tRNAs have two regions of fundamental functional importance: the anti-codon, which is responsible for specific mRNA codon recognition, and the 3' end, to which the tRNAs corresponding amino acid is attached (by aminoacyl-tRNA synthetases). tRNAs cope with the degeneracy of the genetic code in two manners: having more than one tRNA (with a specific anti-codon) for a particular amino acid; and 'wobble' base-pairing, i.e. permitting non-standard base-pairing at the 3rd anti-codon position. RNAcentral also lists the same sequence under 2 other names. Lineage: Bacteria; Pseudomonadati; Bacteroidota; Cytophagia; Cytophagales; Hymenobacteraceae. The record is from RNAcentral.